This 346-nucleotide ribosomal RNA is filed under the name uncultured bacterium. Its description in RNAcentral is "partial 16S ribosomal RNA". It matches the Rfam family "Bacterial small subunit ribosomal RNA", at positions 338 to 681 of the family's 1533-position model. The record is from RNAcentral.
CCUACGGGAGACAGCAGUGAGGAAUAUUGGUCAAUGGACGCAAGUCUGAACCAGCCAUGCCGCGUGCAGGAUGACGGCUCUAUGAGUUGUAAACUGCUUUUGUACGAGGGUAAACGCAGAUACGCGUAUCUGUCUGAAAGUAGCGUAUGAAUAAGGAACGGCUAACUCCGUGCCAGCAGCCGCGGUAAUACGGAGGAGACAAGCGUUAUCCGGAUUUAUUGGGGUUAAAGGGUGCGUAGGUGGUCUGUUAAGGUAGAUGUGAAAGCCCGCGGCUCAACUUCGGAAUUGCCUCUGAUACUGGCCGUCUUGAGUGUAGUUGCGUUAGGCGGCCUGUGUGGUGUAGCGG